AUUAAACGCUGGCGGCAUGCCUUACACAUGCAAGUCGAACGGCAGCACGGGGGCAACCCUGGUGGCGAGUGGCGGACGGGUGAGUAAAGCAUCGGAACGUAUCCUGGAGUGGGGGAUAACGUAGCGAAAGUUACGCUAAUACCGCAUAUUCUGUGAGCAGGAAAGCAGGGGAUCGCAAGACCUUGCGCUCUGGGAGCGGCCGAUGUCGGAUUAGCUAGUUGGUGGGUAAAGGCCUACCAAGGCGACGAUCCGUAGCGGGUCUGAGAGGAUGAUCCGCCACACUGGGACUGAGACACGGCCCAGACUCCUACGGGAGGCAGCAGUGGGGAAUAUUGGACAAUGGGCGAAAGCCUGAUCCAGCCAUGCCGCGUGAGUGAUGAAGGCCCUAGGGUUGUAAAGCUCUUUCAACGGUGAAGAUAAUGACGGUAACCGUAGAAGAAGCCCCGGCUAACUUCGUGCCAGCAGCCGCGGUAAU
Molecule: ribosomal RNA, 475 nt
Filed under: uncultured bacterium
Lineage: Bacteria
Description: bacterial SSU rRNA
Rfam family: Bacterial small subunit ribosomal RNA
Source: RNAcentral